Mytilus trossulus (common blue mussel) is the source of this 1089-nucleotide RNA transcript. It is a transcript of the gene named histone-arginine methyltransferase METTL23-like, with no coding region annotated. The record is from RefSeq and is a predicted model, not a curated record. The transcript is spliced from 6 exons. Lineage: Eukaryota; Metazoa; Mollusca; Bivalvia; Mytilida; Mytilidae.
CGUUAGCAUGUCUUCUUCCAAGAGGCAGAAAAUUGAAAAAUUCUUCAAGUUCAGUAGUGAUUCAGAAAACUGUACAGUUUGUAUUCCUGAGGUUCUUGAUGGUAACUAUGGGAUGUAUGUAUGGCCAUGUUCACCAGUGUUGGCACAGUAUAUAUGGUACCACAGGGAAUCACUCAAAGGCAAAACUGUACUUGAGAUUGGUGCUGGAACUUCUCUUCCUGGGAUAGUAGCAGCCAAGUGUGAAGCCACAGUAAUUCUCAGUGAUAGUUCUGAAUACCCACAAUGCCUUGCGAAUUGUGCUGCAUCAUGUGAAGCAAACAAUCUGUCCAAUAUAACAAUAGUUGGUAUAAAAUGGGGACAAUUCACCCCAGAAUUACUCAAUCUUCAACCUGUUGACAUUAUCUUAGGAUCAGACUGUUUCUUUGAUACUAAAGACUUUGAAGAUAUCAUAGUGACAGUAGCAUUUAUAAUGAAGAAAAGACCAAGUACAGAGUUUUGGUGUACUUAUCAAGAGAGAAGUUCCUCUAGGAGUAUUGAGUAUCUACUGUUAAAAUGGGGAUUAGAGAGCAGAGAGAUUGAUUUAGAAACAUUUGAAGCAGACUCACCAACCCUAGCAGGAUCUACAUUACCUGGGAAUCAUACCAUUCACAUGUAUAUAAUGAAAAAGAAAAGUUAUUCUGACAGCUAAAUCAAAAUACAUGUACUACAAUGGCCCAUAUCAAAAAUGAUGCUUCAUUUUGAUGAAUUAUGUUGCACAGUCAUUUUGUCCUGAUAAAUGAGGACAGGGCCUACAUACUGUGAAGAGGAAAUGUUUAUAUAUAUGGUUAAACGAAAUGGCCACACAAAAGUGAUCUAGAAUUAGAUUACCAGUAAUUGGUAUUAAGUUCAAAAUAUGUGACAAGUACUGAGAAAAAAUCAGCCACUGUUUAUGUGAUGUUCAGAGUACAGAAUAAGUUGCCAAUGACAACAUAAUGAGAUUACAAAGCUGAAAUGAUGACUCAAAGAAGAUUGCAUUCCCUUGACAGAUAAAGGAAAAAAAAACAGCUGAUGAGAAAAGAAUGGCAAGGAUGGCUUUAAACAGAAUCAUGG